Small nucleolar RNA from Lycium barbarum (goji berry), 106 nucleotides. NCBI's taxonomy places the organism in Eukaryota, Viridiplantae, Streptophyta, Magnoliopsida, Solanales, Solanaceae. The record is from RefSeq and is a predicted model, not a curated record.
AAACCAUGAUUUGGAGACUUCUACAAAUAUUCUUUAAAUCUCUCCUAAGCUUCAUAUAGUUGCUCCCCCUGAAGUUGUUUGAACUCAUAAAUUUUUUCACGAAUUU